This 775-nucleotide ribosomal RNA is filed under the name uncultured Neocallimastigales. Its description in RNAcentral is "partial large subunit ribosomal RNA". It matches the Rfam family "Eukaryotic large subunit ribosomal RNA", at positions 26 to 622 of the family's 3401-position model. Lineage: Eukaryota; Fungi; Neocallimastigomycota; Neocallimastigomycetes; Neocallimastigales. The record is from RNAcentral.
CGCAUCUGUGCAUGCAGCAUAUCAAUAAGCGGAGGAAAAGAAACUAACAAGGAUUCCCUCAGUAACGGCGAGUGAAGCGGGAAGAGCUCAAAUUUGAAAUCUUGAAAGGUCACCUUUCACGAAUUGUAGUUUAAAGAAGUGUUUUCUGUUACGAUCGUAAUAUAAGUUCUUUGGAAUAGGACAUCACAGAGGGUGAGAAUCCCGUCUAUGAUUGCGAUUUGUAGCUUUGUGAUACACUUUCAAAGAGUCGGGUUGUUUGGGAAUGCAGCCCAAAACGGGAGGUAAAUUUCUUCUAAGGCUAAAUAUUGGCGAGAGACCGAUAGCGAACAAGUACCGUGAGGGAAAGAUGAAAAGAACUUUGAAAAGAGAGUUAAAUAGUACGUGAAAUUGUCAAAAGGGAAGCGUUUAACACCAGUGUUGUUUUCUCGAAAAUCAAUUAAAAAUGGCUCGAUUUUGUAUUGCUUGAGACCUUAAAAGCUCACUGUACAUUUUUCGUGUCUUUUUUAAUGCACUUUUCGUUUAACAAGUCAACAUCAGUUUCUUUUGUUGUAAAAGGGUCAUUGGAAGGUGGCUUUCUUUUCGGAGAAAGUGUUUAUAGCCUUUGGCCUCUGCAAUCGAAGAGACUGAGGUCUGCAGCGUAGACUCUUCGGGGUUAGAUACAUUUGUGCUAAGUUAUAGCUUUUUAUAGACAACUUGUUGACUAUAAUUAGUCUUGUAGCUUACUCGCUUAUGCUAUUUUACCUACGCUUAGGAUGUUGACGAUCAGCUGAGCGCG